AAACUGCGAAUGGCUCAUAAAUCAGUAUCGUUCAUUGAUAGCAAAUUACUACUUGGAUAACCGUGGUAAUUCUAGGGCUAAUACAUGCUGAAAACCCCAACUUCGGAAGGGGUGUGUUUAUUAGAUAAAAAACCAAUGCCCUUUCGGGGCUCUUUGGUGAAUCAUGAUAACCUAACGAAUCGCAUGGCCUUGCGCCGGCGAUGGUUCAUUCAAAUUUCUGCCCUAUCAACUUUCGAUGGUAGAGUAGUGGUCUACCAUGGUUUCAACGGGUGACGGGGAAUUAGGGUUCGACUCCGGAGAGGGAGCCUGAGAAACGGCUACCACAUCCAAGGAAGGCAGCAGGCGCGCAAAUUACCCAAUCCCGACUCGGGGAGGUAGUGACAAUAAAUACUAAUACAGGGCUCUUUUGGGUCUUGUAAUUGGAAUGAGUACAAUUUAAAUCCCUUAACGAGGAACAAUUGGAGGGCAAGUCUGGUGCCAGCAGCCGCGGUAAUUCCAGCUCCAAUAGCGUAUAUUAAAGUUGUUGCAGUUAAAAAGCUCGUAGUUGAACCUUGGGCCUGGCCGGCCGGUCCGCCUCACCGCGUGCACUGGCCCGGCCGGGUCUUUCCUUCUGGGGAGCCGCAUGCCCUUUACUGGGCGUGUCGGGGAUCCAGGACUUUUACUUUGAAAAAAUUAGAGUGUUCAAAGCAGGCCUUUGCUCGAAUACAUUAGCAUGGAAUAAUAGAAUAGGACGUGCGGUCCUAUUUUGUUGGUUUCUAGGACCGCCGUAAUGAUUAAUAGGGACAGUCGGGGGCAUCCGUAUUCAAUUGUCAGAGGUGAAAUUCUUGGAUUUAUUGAAGACGAACUACUGCGAAAGCAUUUGCCAAGGAUGUUUUCAUUAAUCAGUGAACGAAAGUUAGGGGAUCGAAGACGAUCAGAUACCGUCGUAGUCUUAACCGUAAACUAUGCCGACUAGGGAUCGGGCGAUGUUACCAUUUUGACUCGCUCGGCACCUUACGAGAAAUCAAAGUCUUUGGGCUCUG
This 1022-nucleotide ribosomal RNA is filed under the name Purpurepithecium murisporum. Its description in RNAcentral is "SSU rRNA". It matches the Rfam family "Eukaryotic small subunit ribosomal RNA", at positions 84 to 1116 of the family's 1831-position model. Lineage: Eukaryota; Fungi; Ascomycota; Dothideomycetes; Gloniales; Gloniaceae. The record is from RNAcentral.